Long non-coding RNA from Acanthopagrus latus (yellowfin seabream), 881 nucleotides. RefSeq lists it as uncharacterized. NCBI's taxonomy places the organism in Eukaryota, Metazoa, Chordata, Actinopteri, Spariformes, Sparidae. The transcript has 3 exons. The record is from RefSeq and is a predicted model, not a curated record.
UCCCUGUCACAUCCUCAGUCUGCUGAAAUCUUACGUAACAGAGCAGAUGUGCAGACAAAGGCUUCGCAUGAGACCACGUUAGAUUUAGGUUGGUUUUUUUUACAGGAUAUAUUUGAAAUAAAGCACGGGCCUCAUCUGUUUGGUGCAUUAAUUACUCACAGUGGAUCGUUAGACGCGAAUGCUCUUCUCAUUUUGCACAUCCUGCAACAUCCUCCAACAGGCUUGAGCGCAGUACCGUCAAGGUUACGAUGGCUUACAAAGAGCUGUGCUAUUCUACACAUUCUCCAUUAUUCAGAAGCUUUGAUCAGCUCUCUUGUUUGAAUUUCCACCACAUCUGAUCUAUAAAACCUCAAUUCUCCCUCAAUGUUACAUCACCACCAAAUCUGGACACAGCGCUGGAUGAAACCAUCUGAAGCCAAAAACAGCUCGACUUCCCGGCUUUGGAAUUACCAGGAUCUCCUGCGUUGUGGGCCCCGUACAGCGUGCACACUGGAGACGUAAAUAAAAUGACUUCAUCUUGCAGCUCUUCUAGACUUUACCAAUAUUACUGGACCGAGUGACUUAAGUCAUGAUAGCUAAAUGAGUCAAUUUGAAGUGGUUGUGAUGUUAAAAAACAAGUAUCCAGUAUUUUACAGAUGCUUAUUUCACAACGUAAGUCUUUUUGGGAACCAGUGCAUCAUGUCAUGUUGUAAUUACACAGUUUGGCCACUAGGAGCUUGACAGCCCAGUCUGCUCUGAUUGGCUCUGAUACACAGUGCACCUUCACAAGUUACUCCAGUUAUAAAGUGAUAUAUCACACUAAGUAGUUACUAACAAAUCCCUCGUUAACACGUGAUUAACUAACCAUUACUUAUCCUUUAUUUCACACUAAAACAACUCCU